AUGGACGCAGCAGCAGUUGGUGCCGAGGGAGAGGAGAGCGUGGGGCAGCACGAGAAGGUGUCCUUCAUGGGGCUGUUCCGGCAUGCCGACGGCAAGGACCAGCUGCUGAUGCUGGUCGGCACGGUGGCCGCGCUGGCCAACGGCAUGACCACGCCCCUCAUGACCGUCUUCUUCGGCGACGUCCUCGACGCUUUUGGCGGCGCCACCGACGCCAACGUCCUCCAGCGCGUCAACAAGGCGGUUCUGAACUUUGUCUACUUGGGUAUCGGAGCAGCAGUCAUAUCCUUUCUUCAGGUGUCAUGCUGGACAAUUACCGGUGAAAGGCAGGCAUCACUCAUUCGAUCUGAAUACCUCAAAUCUGUCUUGAGACAGGAUAUUUCAUUCUUUGACACAGAAAUGACAACUGGGCAAGUAGUUUCAAAAAUGUCUGGUGAUACAGUGCUAGUUCAAGAUGCUAUUGGUGAGAAGGUCGGCAAGUUCCAAAACCUCGUGGCUGCUUUCCUUGGUGGUUUCAUUGUAGGUUUUGUGAAAGGAUGGAUUCUAUCUCUUGUCAUGUUGGCAUGCGUACCUCCAAUUUUAUUUGCUGCAGGAGUAGUGGCAAAAGUAUUGUCAAAAAUCUCUAGCAGAGGUCAAGCAUCAUACAGUAAUGCGGGGAACAUUGUCGAACAGACAAUUGGAGCCAUAAAAACAGUUGUUUCUUUCAAUGGAGAGAAGAAGGCCAUCAUAUCGUACAAUAAACUAAUACACAAAGCAUACAAGACUGAUGUUGAGGAAGGACUUACCAAUGGCUUUGGCAUGGCAUCUGUUUUGUUCGUAUUCUACUCUAGCUAUGGUUUAGCCAUAUGGUACGGUGGAAAGUUGGUACUUGCAAAAGGAUACACAGGAGGACAAGUCAUCACUGUCUUAUUGGCUAUCAUGACUGGGGCAAUGUCUUUAGGUAAUGCAGCCCCAUGUAUGACUGCCUUUAUAGAAGGACAAUCAGCAGCACAUAGAUUAUUCACAACAAUCAAGAGGAAACCAGAGAUUGACCCUAACAACAAUAGUGGUGAGAAACUAGUAGACAUGAGGGGUGAUAUUGAGCUAAAGGAUGUCUAUUUUAGCUACCCAACAAGGCGUGGGCAACUAAUAUUUGAUGGAUUCUCACUACAUGUGCCUAGUGGCACUACAAUGGCUAUAGUUGGAGAGAGUGGGAGUGGCAAGUCAACUGUGAUUAGUCUUGUAGAGAGAUUCUAUGAUCCGCAAGCUGGAGAGGUUUUGAUUGACGGGGUUAAUAUAAAAGAUUUACAGCUUGAUUCGAUAAGAAGGAAAAUUUCUCUUGUUGGCCAAGAGCCCUUGCUCUUUAUGACAUCAAUUAAAGAUAACAUAACAUAUGGAAAAGAAGAUGCAACAAUUGAGGAGAUCAAGAGAGCCGCUAAGCUCGCCAACGCAGCAAUUUUUAUCGAUAAGUUGCCCAAUGGUUAUGACACAAUGGUUGGCCAGCGUGGUGCUCAACUUUCAGGGGGACAAAAGCAAAGGAUUGCAAUUGCUAGGGCAAUCAUUAAAAACCCCAGAAUACUUUUGUUAGACGAGGCUACUAGUGCAUUAGAUGUGGAGUCAGAGAGGAUAGUUCAGGAGGCAUUGGAUAGGAUCAUGGUGGACAGAACUACGCUUGUGGUUGCACAUCGUCUAACUACUGUGAGAAACGUUGAUUGCAUAUCAGUUAUUCAACAAGGAAAGAUAGUUCAACAAGGUUCCCAUGAUGAAUUAAUACUAAACUUAGAUGGUGCCUACUCUCAACUUAUUCUGCUCCAAGAAAGUCAUGUAGAGCAGAAAAUGGACCAUCGACUAUCUGCUUCAAUAUCAAGUACAAGCCUGUCAUUGAAGCGGUCGAUUAGUGCUUCACUAGGAAAUAAUAAUGAGCUUUCUUGCACACUCCCAUUCGGGCUACCUAGCACAAUUGAGAUGCCUGGAGAAUAUGACACACAUGGAAAUAAUCAAAAAGAGAAGAAUGGUGAGGGAGAGGCACCAAAGAAAGAUCCUAUGGUACGUCUAGCAAUUCUUAACAAGCCAGAGGUACCUAUUCUUAUAUUAGGAUCCCUAGCUGCGGCAGUUCAUGGAGUUAUUUUUCCAGUGUUUGGUUUAGUGAUUUCAAGUGCAAUUAAAUCUUUAUAUGAGCCGGCAGAUAAACUUAGAAGUGAUACAAGUUUUUGGGGUAUGAUGUGCUUUGUUAUGGGUAUCAUAUCAGUAAUCACAAUACCAGCAGAGUUCUUAUUAUUUGGAAUAGCUGGAGGCAAGCUUAUAGAGCGCAUCCGAGCUUUGUCAUUUCAAAGCAUUGUUCACCAAGAAGUUGCUUGGUUUGAUGAUCCUAGAAAUUCCAGCGGAGCACUUGGUGCAAGACUAUCAAUUGAUGCUUUGAAUGUCCGGCGUUUAGUGGGCGAUAACUUGUCAUUAAUUAUUCAACUUAGCUCAACGCUUGUCACAGGAGUUGUCAUUUCUAUGAUAGCUGACUGGAAGCUAGCUUUGAUCACCAUGUGUGUGAUUCCACUUGUGGGUCUUCAAAGUUAUGCCCACGUGAAGUUCCUGAAUGGUUUUAGUCAAGAUGCUAAGAUGAUGUAUGAAGAUGCAAGUCAAGUGGCCACGGAUGCAGUUAGUAGUAUAAGGACAAUAGCUUCCUUUUGUUGUGAGAAAAGAAUUACAAGAAUAUAUGAUCGUAAAUGUAGAGCCUCAGUGAAUCAAGGAGUCAAAACAGGAAUAGUUGGGGGUAUUGGAUUUGGUUUCUCAUACUUGACAUUGUACCUCACAUACGGCCUUUGUUUCUAUGUCGGGGGGCAAUUUGUGCGACAAGGCAAAUCAAAUUUUGGUGAAGUUUUUAAGGUUUUCUUUGCACUGGUCUUAGCAACUAUGGGAGUAUCUGAAACAAGUGCAAUGGCCUCCGAUUCAAAAAAAGCAAAGGAUUCAGCUAUCUCUAUAUUUACUUUGCUAGACCGAGUAUCCGAAAUUGAUUCAAGGAGCAAUCAGGGUUUGAUAUUAGAUGAGGUCAAGGGGAACAUAGAUUUCCAACAAGUCAGCUUCAAAUACCCAAGUCGCCUAGAUAUUCAAAUCUUCCAUGACUUUACCCUGCACAUACCCUCUAGAAAGACUGUUGCGCUUGUUGGAGAAAGUGGUAGCGGCAAGUCAACUGUAAUCACACUAUUGGAGAGAUUCUACAAUCCCGAUUCGGGUACCAUUCAAUUGGACGGAGUGGAAAUCAAGAGCUUAAACAUAAAUUGGUUUAGAAACCAAAUUGGACUGGUGAGCCAAGAGCCUAUACUCUUCAAUGACACAAUACGUGCCAACAUAGCCUAUGGUAAGGAUGGGGAUGUCACCGAAGAGGAGCUCAUUGCAGCUGCAAAAAUAUCCAAUGCACAUGAGUUCAUAUCAAGCCUUCCUCAAGGGUAUGGCACCUUCGUUGGGGAGAGAGGGGCACAACUAUCCGGUGGCCAGAAGCAACGGGUGGCUAUUGCGAGGGCGAUACUCAAAGAUCCUAAGAUACUACUACUCGACGAAGCAACUAGUGCCUUGGAUGCAGAAUCUGAGCGAAUUGUGCAGAAUGCCUUAGAUCAUGUGAUGGUUGGCAGGACCACGAUUGUCGUGGCACACCGCCUAUCUACUAUCAAAGGCGCCGAUAUCAUUGCAGUUCUCAAAGAUGGUGCAAUAGUGGAGAAAGGAAGUCAUGACUCCUUGGUGAACAUCAAAGAUGGAUUGUAUGCUUCACUAGUUGAACUCCGUUCAGCAUCACCGUAA
RNAcentral lists this ribosomal RNA (3762 nucleotides) under Triticum aestivum (bread wheat). RNAcentral describes it as "partial small subunit ribosomal RNA". The record is from RNAcentral. Lineage: Eukaryota; Viridiplantae; Streptophyta; Magnoliopsida; Poales; Poaceae.